Molecule: ribosomal RNA, 253 nt
Filed under: uncultured bacterium
Lineage: Bacteria
Description: partial 16S ribosomal RNA
Rfam family: Bacterial small subunit ribosomal RNA
Source: RNAcentral
UACAGAGGUCCCAAGCGUUGUUCGGAUUCAUUGGGCGUAAAGGGUGCGUAGGCGGCGCGGUAAGUCGGGUGUGAAAUCUCGGAGCUUAACUCCGAAACUGCAUCCGAUACUGCCGUGCUUGAGGACUGGAGAGGAGACUGGAAUUUACGGUGUAGCGGUGAAAUGCGUAGAUAUCGUAAGGAAGACCAGUGGCGAAGGCGGGUCUCUGGACAGUUCCUGACGCUGAGGCACGAAGGCUAGGGGAGCAAACGGG